Molecule: ribosomal RNA, 429 nt
Filed under: uncultured bacterium
Lineage: Bacteria
Description: bacterial SSU rRNA
Rfam family: Bacterial small subunit ribosomal RNA
Source: RNAcentral
UGGGGAAUAUUGCGCAAUGGGGGCAACCCUGACGCAGCCAUGCCGCGUGAAUGAAGAAGGCCUUCGGGUUGUAAAGUUCUUUCGGUAGCGAGGAAGGCAUUUAGUUUAAUAGACUAGGUGAUUGACGUUAACUACAGAGGAAGCACCGGCUAACUCCGUGCCAGCAGCCGCGGUAAUACGGAGGGUGCGAGCGUUAAUCGGAAUAACUGGGCGUAAAGGGCACGCAGGCGGUGACCUAAGUGAGGUGUGAAAGCCCCGGGCUUAACCUGGGAAUUGCAUUUCAUACUGGGUCGCUAGAGUACUUUAGGGAGGGGUAGAAUUCCACGUGUAGCGGUGAAAUGCGUAGAGAUGUGGAGGAAUACCGAAGGCGAAGGCAGCCCCUUGGGAAUGUACUGACGCUCACGUGCGAAAGCGUGGGGAGCAAACAGG